Molecule: unclassified non-coding RNA, 329 nt
Filed under: soil metagenome
Description: partial contains 5.8S ribosomal RNA, internal transcribed spacer 2, and large subunit ribosomal RNA
Rfam family: 5.8S ribosomal RNA (bases 1-120)
Source: RNAcentral
GAUGAAGAACGUAGCGAAAUGCGAUAAGUAAUGUGAAUUGCAGAAUUCAGUGAAUCAUCGAAUCUUUGAACGCACAUUGCGCCCGCCAGUAUUCCGGGGGGCAUGCCUGUUCGAGCGUCAUUAUAACCACUCAAGCUCUCGCUUGGUAUUGGGGUUCGCGGUUCCGCGGCCCCUAAAAUCAGUGGCGGUGCCUGUCGGCUCUACGCGUAGUAAUACUCCUCGCGAUUGAGUCCGGUAGGUCUACUUGCCAGCAACCCCCAAUUUUUACAGGUUGACCUCGGAUCAGGUAGGGAUACCCGCUGAACUUAAGCAUAUCAAUAAGCGGAGGA